AUAAAACUGAUCACAGAUGGAGAUUGCUGCAGCUCUCACCUCACACCAAGUGGAGCACGGAUGUACAGACCUGGACUCAGUCUGGAGCAAAAUGUGAAAAAGAAAACGAAUUCCAGCUCUUCACAAUAAAA
Long non-coding RNA from Bufo bufo (common toad), 131 nucleotides. RefSeq lists it as uncharacterized. The transcript is spliced from 3 exons. NCBI's taxonomy places the organism in Eukaryota, Metazoa, Chordata, Amphibia, Anura, Bufonidae. The record is from RefSeq and is a predicted model, not a curated record.